GCUAACGUCCGUCGUGAAAAGGGAAACAACCCAGACCGUCAGCUAAGGUCCCGAAAUCCUGGUUAAGUGGGAAACGAUGUGGGAAGGCUCAGACAGCUAGGAGGUUGGCUUAGAAGCAGCCAUCCUUUAAAGAAAGCGUAAUAGCUCACUAGUCGAGUCGGCCUGCGCGGAAGAUGUAACGGGGCUAAACCAGGUACCGAAGCUACGGGUUCACACUUAGGUGUGAGCGGUAGAGGAGCGUCGUGUAAGCCGAUGAAGGUGAAUUGAGAAGUUCGCUGGAGGUAUCACGAGUGCGAAUGCUGACAUGAGUAACGAUAAAGGGAGUGAAAAACUCCCUCGCCGGAAGACCAAGGGUUUCUGUUCGACGCUAAUCGGAGCAGAGUGAGUCGGCCCCUAAGGCGAGGCCGAAAGGCGUAGUCGAUGGGAAACAGGUCAAUAUUCCUGUACCGGACAUGAUUGCGAUGGGGGGACGGAGAAGGCUAGGUGAGCCAGGCGUUGGUUGUCCUGGUGAAAGUGAGUAGGCUUGCAUCUUAGGUAAAUCCGGGAUGCUCUAAGGCCGAGACACGAAACGAACUGACCACGGUCAGGAAGUCAUUGAUGCCACGCUUCCAGGAAAAGCCUCUAAGCUUCAGAUCAUGUGCGACCGUACCCCAAACCGACACAGGUGGUCAGGGUGAGAAUCCCAAGGCGCUUGAGAGAACUCGGGUGAAGGAACUAGGCAAAAUGGUGCCGUAACUUCGGGAGAAGGCACGCCGGCGUAGGGUGACGAGACUUGCUCUCAGAGCCCGAACCGGUCGAAGAUACCAGGUGGCUGCAACUGUUUAGUAAAAACACAGCACUCUGCUAACGCGCAAGCGGACGUAUAGGGUGUGACGCCUGCCCGGUGCCGGAAGGUUAAAUGAUGGUGUUAGCCGCAAGGCGAAGCUCUUGAUUGAAGCCCCGGUAAACGGCGGCCGUAACUAUAACGGUCCUAAGGUAGCGAAAUUCCUUGUCGGGUAAGUUCCGACCUGCACGAAUGGCGUAAUGAUGGCCACGCUGUCUCCACCCGAGACUCAGUGAAAUUGAAAUCGCCGUGAAGAUGCGGUGUACCCGCGGCUAGACGGAAAGACCCCGUGAACCUUUACUAUAGCUUCACACUGGACGCUGAUGUUGCCUGUGUAGGAUAGCUGGGAGGCUUUGAAUCUCGGACGCUAGUUCGAGGGGAGCCAACCUUGAAAUACCAGCCUGGCAUCAUUGGCGUUCUCACUCAGGUCCGUUAUCCGGAUCGAGGACAGUGUGUGGUGGGUAGUUUGACUGGGGCGGUCUCCUCCCAAAGAGUAACGGAGGAGCACGAAGGUACCCUCAGCACGGUCGGACAUCGUGCAGUGAGUGCAAGAGCAUAAGGGUGCUUGACUGCGAGACAGACACGUCGAGCAGGUGCGAAAGCAGGUUCUAGUGAUCCGGUGGUUCUGUAUGGAAGGGCCAUCGCUCAACGGAUAAAAGGUACUCCGGGGAUAACAGGCUGAUACCGCCCAAGAGUUCACAUCGACGGCGGUGUUUGGCACCUCGAUGUCGGCUCAUCACAUCCUGGGGCUGAAGUCGGUCCCAAGGGUAUGGCUGUUCGCCAUUUAAAGUGGUACGCGAGCUGGGUUUAGAACGUCGUGAGACAGUUCGGUCCCUAUCUGCCGUGGGCGUUGGAUGUUUGAGAAGGGCUGCUCCUAGUACGAGAGGACCGGAGUGGACGCACCUCUGGUGUUCCGGUUGUCACGCCAGUGGCAUUGCCGGGUAGCUAUGUGCGGACGGGAUAACCGCUGAAAGCAUCUAAGCGGGAAGCCCCCUUCAAGAUGAGACAUCCCUGAGGCCUAGAGCCUCCUGAAGGGCCCAGCGAGACCAGCUGGUUGAUAGGCACGGUGUGGAAGCGCUGCAAGGCGUU
This 1912-nucleotide ribosomal RNA is filed under the name Halomonas sp. TD01. Its description in RNAcentral is "bacterial LSU rRNA". It matches the Rfam family "Bacterial large subunit ribosomal RNA", at positions 997 to 2887 of the family's 2925-position model. Lineage: Bacteria; Pseudomonadati; Pseudomonadota; Gammaproteobacteria; Oceanospirillales; Halomonadaceae. The record is from RNAcentral.